AAACGACAUCACUGGAUGUAUCACAAAGCCUUGAUUAACGUAUAUUCAAUGUUGUGUCAUGCACUAGAUGCCACUUAAAAGAUAACCAAGACCACAACGUACACCACCAUCAACGAUUGAAGAUGAGCAAAAUCCAAGCCUGAAAAUGAAGAAAUUAGGGGAAUCUGUAGAUUGGGUUGAAAAUCCAGCAACCUAAAACUAAUA
RNAcentral lists this unclassified non-coding RNA (204 nucleotides) under Hevea brasiliensis (rubber tree). The record is from RNAcentral. Lineage: Eukaryota; Viridiplantae; Streptophyta; Magnoliopsida; Malpighiales; Euphorbiaceae.